Molecule: ribosomal RNA, 253 nt
Filed under: uncultured bacterium
Lineage: Bacteria
Description: partial 16S ribosomal RNA
Rfam family: Bacterial small subunit ribosomal RNA
Source: RNAcentral
UACGUAGGGAGCAAGCGUUGUCCGGAAUCAUUGGGCGUAAAGGGCGCGUAGGCGGCCACGCACGUCCGUUGUGAAAUCGCCCGGCUCAACUGGGCGGGGUCGGCGGAUACGGCGUGGCUGGAGCAAGCUAGGGGGCAAUGGAAUUCCCGGUGUAGUGGUGGAAUGCGUAGAUAUCGGGAGGAACACCAGUGGCGAAGGCGGUUGCCUGGAGCUUUGCUGACGCUGAGGCGCGAAAGCGUGGGGAGCGAUCCGG